Molecule: long non-coding RNA, 177 nt
Organism: Oxyura jamaicensis (ruddy duck)
Lineage: Eukaryota; Metazoa; Chordata; Aves; Anseriformes; Anatidae
Exons: 4
Source: RefSeq, a predicted model, not a curated record
AUAAGAAUGAUCAGUGAGUGCUGGUUGAUAAGAAGUGCAACAUGAGCCAUCAAUGUGCUCUUACAGCCCAAAAAGCCAACCUUAUUCUGGGCUGCAUCAAAAUAAGUGUGGCCAGCAAGUUGACAGAGGUGAUUCUUCCCCUCUGCUCUGCUCUUGUGAGACCCUACCUGGAGUACU